UAUUGCCAGUUGCUACCAGGUAAUGCUGGGCACUCUGGUGAGACUGCCCCGGUUAACGGGGAGGAAGGUGGGACGACGUCAAGUCAUCAUGGCCCUUACGCCUAGGGCUACACACGUACUACAAUGGCGCAUACAAAGGGCAGCGAUACCGCGAGGUGGAGCCAAUCCCAAAAAGUGCGUCCCAGUCCGGAUUGCAGUCUGCAACUCGACUGCAUGAAGUUGGAAUCGCUAGUAAUUCGAGAUCAGCAUGCUCGGGUGAAUGCGUUCCCGGGCCUU
RNAcentral lists this ribosomal RNA (276 nucleotides) under uncultured Desulfovibrio sp. RNAcentral describes it as "partial 16S ribosomal RNA". It matches the Rfam family "Bacterial small subunit ribosomal RNA", at positions 1106 to 1382 of the family's 1533-position model. The record is from RNAcentral. Lineage: Bacteria; Pseudomonadati; Thermodesulfobacteriota; Desulfovibrionia; Desulfovibrionales; Desulfovibrionaceae.